Brassica napus (rape) is the source of this 1996-nucleotide long non-coding RNA. RefSeq lists it as uncharacterized. Lineage: Eukaryota; Viridiplantae; Streptophyta; Magnoliopsida; Brassicales; Brassicaceae. The transcript has 2 exons. The record is from RefSeq and is a predicted model, not a curated record.
UUUAGGCCUUUUAAACGUUGAAAAACUAUAAACCAAGAUAUUUCAUGUCCUGGGCCGCCCUGCUUCUACGAUUUUUUUGUCUUCCUCGCCAUUUUCUCAGUACAUGGUUGGUAAUUUUCUGACAAUGCAUUUUGUAGGAAAUAUUUUUAUCGGAAUAUGGUAUGUUCUCUUGUAGUGCAUAUAGACUAAUUAAAUUUAUCAAAUACCUAUCAUUUACGAUAUCUUUUGAUCAAUAUGUUUGUGUCAAACUAUAAUAGAAACCGCAUAUAAUGGAAACCUUAAUUGUAUAUAAAAUGCAAUAUGCAAAAAGGCCAAGGUGGAAAGAAAGAAGGCCAAGAAGAAUCUCCAGAAGUGAGCAUGAGGACGCGACCUCUCUUGUUAUGCGGCAAGAGGUAGAGGCGCCCAUUAUAUUCCAUUUACUUGUUGCAGAUAUUUUUUUUAUUUUUUUCUUAGUUAGAUUCUUCCUGUUGUUUGUAUUUAUUUAUUUCUUCUUUCAGAAAUUAUUGGGAAAAAAAAAUUAUCUCUGUUCUUUUCCUUUAUUUUUUUUUUUUCGUAAUUUAAUUAGUUUAGUAAAGUAUAUAAAUCUACUCUUUUUGAGUGGUAUCUGAGCAGCUUUAGAGUGGCCACUCUUUUUGACCUAAAGCUACAGCAGCUAUUCUUCCUUCGAUCUCCCUCUUUGGUGGUCUGUUUCUCUCACCGCCACCGGGGAUGGACUCGUCUCUUCAUACUCUAGCUAUUGACGUCUCUUUUGGUGGGUUCCAUGGAAGAUGUGGACGGAUCUGGAGUUUGUAUGGACUCAAUCUCCACAUCGCUUAUGAUUUUCACGGAAUCAAGGAUGCACCGGAUGAGACAAAACAUCGUGGGGGGUGAACAGAAGAAGUAAAAUUACAUUCGAACAACUAGAAUUGAUUUUCACUCUAAGGAUCAAGAUGAAAAUUUGGGUUUCUCUACCAUUUCAAUUAUGUUUAGUCAUAGACGUAUUAACUAUGAUAAAAAUAUUUGCUACUCUAAUAACUAGUGGGUUUUACACUUUUGCUGGCUAAAAUCUUCCAUUUAUAACAAGAAAAAAAAAAUUGAAGCAAUUAAUAACAUAUGUUGAGUGAAGAUGCUGAAUAACAAGCAUUCCACGAUAAAAUGAGAUAACAAGCAUGCUAUGCACAUUUCACAUUUUAUAACCAUUUACUUUAUAAACUAACCGUUAACAACAAAUGUUAAAUGGUGAUGAAAUAUAGUUUGCUGCGAGCGUCCAGUCUGUACUGCUACAGCCACAGUGAACGCAUUAGAUUCGUGAGCUUGUUAGUGUCCACCCUUAGGCACAUCCCACUUUUGGUAGCCUUUAAAUUCAAAAGCGAGAUCUUGAACAUAUGCGAAGAUAACUUGUACAUUAUUAGUCCAUUGAUAUAUCCAAUGGUAGAUAGCUCUUUUGUAAAACAAUGGAAUGUCCGAGUUGUUAGUUUUGACUUUUGAUUGGUUAAUGUUAUUUUGAUUUACAAAAAUUUAUAAGUGGACAGGCAUAUUCUUGAGAAUAUACCAGUUUCAUUCUCUUUUUCGACCUUUCUUCCCUCUCGUACCUGCUUCAAUCAUCUCGAUCUUAAUUUUGACCUAAUUUUAUUUUGUCACUAGUUUUGACCUGGCUAAUUUCUCUCCUUUGACGGCCAGUGCAAGCAAGGUCCCAUCAAAAGAAAGCAUACAUUAGACAUCAUUAUUGUAAACCCUAUAGUAUUUGAAUAUUAUAACUACGAUGGGUUUAUUUAGCAAACUUGCAUUAAUAUGAAGAAGAAGAGCCAGGAAAAGUCUAACAUAAUGGGACAACAAGCAUCCAAACAACAAAUCUCUUUUGGGACUUGAUGUGUGAUGCGCCGAGUGAUAUAUGCAACAAGUAGAAGUGGAAAAAGAAACUGUACAACAAGUAAUUCAAGUAUAUAUUCAACAUCAUGGUCUAAUCAUGAUAUAUUCUUUUUGACACACGUAAUUAUCAGUUGUUAUUUGAAAAUUA